RNAcentral lists this long non-coding RNA (450 nucleotides) under Lathyrus oleraceus (garden pea). RNAcentral describes it as "Pisum sativum (pea) long non-coding RNA (PSAT_LNC021319)". The record is from RNAcentral. Lineage: Eukaryota; Viridiplantae; Streptophyta; Magnoliopsida; Fabales; Fabaceae.
GAGGAAACGGACUCGGCAGGAUGUCGCAUCCUGGGCCUACGUAGUUUGUCAGAGACAAACAUCAGAGUUAACGUAGUUCGGGGACAUGGGAAACGUGCUCGCUAGGACAUCGCAUCCUAUGCAUACGUAUCUUCUCUAGCAGGAGUAAGAAUCAGAGCACUCGUAGCUCGGCUAACGCACGCCGAAACAAAACGCUUAAACCAGGGACACUGAGAUGUCAAAUGAAACACACAACUGGAAACGGAAUGCCAAUCGCUGGUCUUACAUCCAACUCCGAACAAACACACGCAAAUAGGAUACGGAAGGCCAAUCGCUGGUCUUACAUCCAUCUCCUAACGCACACAAACAAACGGGAAACUGAAUGCCAAUAGAUGGACUUACAUCAGACUCCGAACAAGGAAAGGGUGUACAAACUCACACACCACACAAAAGGGUUGAAAAAGAAAAAAG